Molecule: ribosomal RNA, 396 nt
Filed under: uncultured bacterium
Lineage: Bacteria
Description: partial 16S ribosomal RNA
Rfam family: Bacterial small subunit ribosomal RNA
Source: RNAcentral
AUACGGAGGAUGCGAGCGUUAUCCGGAUUUAUUGGGUUUAAAGGGUGCGCAGGCGGCAUGUCAAGUCAGCGGUCAAAGUUCCGGGCUCAACCCGGUGAUGCCGUUGAAACUGGCGCGCUUGAGUUCGUGGGAGGAAGGCGGAAUGCGCGGUGUAGCGGUGAAAUGCAUAGAUAUCACGCAGAACCCCGAUUGCGAAGGCAGCCUUCCAUCACGCCACUGACGCUGAGGCACGAAAGCGUGGGUAUCGAACAGGAUUAGAUACCCUGGUAGUCCACGCAGUAAACGAUGAUAACUAGUUUUCCGGUGCGAUUGAGUACUGGGAGACCGAGCGAAAGCGUUAAGUUAUCCACCUGGGGAGUACGCCGGCAACGGUGAAACUCAAAUGAAUUGACGGGG